This 457-nucleotide ribosomal RNA is filed under the name uncultured bacterium. RNAcentral describes it as "bacterial SSU rRNA". It matches the Rfam family "Bacterial small subunit ribosomal RNA", at positions 340 to 786 of the family's 1533-position model. The record is from RNAcentral.
UACGAAGGCAGCAGUGGGGAAGUAUUGCACAAUGGGCGAAAGCCUGAUGCAGCUAUGCCGCGUGUAUGAAGAAGGCCUUAGGGUUGUAAAGUACUUUCAUCGGGGAGGAAAAAACAAAACUAAUAAUUUUAUUUCUUGACGUUACCCGAAAAAGAAGCACCGGCUAACUCCGUGCCAGCAGCCGCGGUAAUACGGAGGGUGCUAGCGUUAAUCAGAAUUACUGGGCGUAAAGAGCACGUAGGUGGUUUUUUAAGUCAGAUGUGAAAUCCCUGGGCUUUAACCUAGGAACUGCAUUUUGAAACUGAAAUACUAGAGUAUCGUAGAGGGAGGUAGAAUUCUAGGUGUAGCGGUGAAAUGCGUAGAUAUCUGGAGGAAUACCUGUGGCGAAAGCGGCCUCCUAAACGAAUACUGACACUGAGGGUGCGAAAGCGUGGGGAGCAAACAGGGAUUAGAUACC